Molecule: non-coding RNA, 20 nt
Filed under: Arabidopsis thaliana (thale cress)
Lineage: Eukaryota; Viridiplantae; Streptophyta; Magnoliopsida; Brassicales; Brassicaceae
Source: RNAcentral
ACAAAGAGUGCCUGAUCUCG